Molecule: ribosomal RNA, 373 nt
Filed under: uncultured bacterium
Lineage: Bacteria
Description: bacterial SSU rRNA
Rfam family: Bacterial small subunit ribosomal RNA
Source: RNAcentral
ACGGAGGGUGCAAGCGUUGUUCGGAAUCACUGGGCGUAAAGGGCGCGUAGGCGGUUUGAUAAGUCAGAUGUGAAAGCCCACGGCUUAACCGUGGAAGUGCAUUUGAAACUGUCAGACUUGAGUACCAGAGGGGAAAGUGGAAUUCCCGGUGUAGAGGUGAAAUUCGUAGAUAUCGGGAGGAAUACCGGUGGCGAAGGCGACUUUCUGGCUGGAUACUGACGCUGAGGCGCGAAAGCGUGGGGAGCAAACAGGAUUAGAUACCCUGGUAGUCCACGCUGUAAACGAUGUGAACUAGAUGUAGGGGGUGUUGAUCCCUUCUGUGUCGCAGCUAACGCAUUAAGUUCACCGCCUGGGGAGUACGGUCGCAAGAUUA